ACCUUCGUAGUUCAGAGGUCAGCACGCUUGGCGCGUAUUCGAGAGGUCCGAGGUUCGAGUCCCGGCGAGGGCA
This is a non-coding RNA of Stegodyphus mimosarum, 73 nucleotides long. Lineage: Eukaryota; Metazoa; Arthropoda; Arachnida; Araneae; Eresidae. The record is from Rfam.